GAUGAACGCUGGCGGCGUGCCUAAUACAUGCCAGUCGAGCGAACGGACGAGAAGCUUGCUUCUCUGAUGUUAGCGGCGGACGGGUGAGUAACACGUGGAUAACCUACCUAUAAGACUGGGAUAACUUCGGGAAACCGGAGCUAAUACCGGAUAAUAUUUUGAACCGCAUGGUUCAAAAGUGAAAGACGGUCUUGCUGUCACUUAUAGAUGGAUCCGCGCUGCAUUAGCUAGUUGGUAAGGUAACGGCUUACCAAGGCAACGAUGCAUAGCCGACCUGAGAGGGGGGUCGGCCCCACUGGAACUGAGACCCGGUCCAGACUCCUACGGGAGGCAGCAGUAGUGAAUCUUCCGCAAUGGGCGAAAACCUGACGGAGCAACGCCGCGUGAGUGAUGAAGGUCUUCGGAUCGUAAAACUCUGUUAUUAGGGAAGAACAUAUGUGUAAGUAACAGUGCACAUCUUGACGGUACCUAAUCAGAAAGCCACGGCUAACUACGUG
This 497-nucleotide ribosomal RNA is filed under the name uncultured bacterium. RNAcentral's name for it is "partial 16S ribosomal RNA". It matches the Rfam family "Bacterial small subunit ribosomal RNA", at positions 28 to 507 of the family's 1533-position model. The record is from RNAcentral.